AUUGAACGCUAGCGGCAGGCCUAACACAUGCAAGUCGAGCGAGCGGCGGACGGGUGAGUAAUGUAUGGGUACUGCCCGAUAGCGGGGGAUCACUACUGGAAACUGUAGCUAAUACCUCCUACUAUCGGAUAACCCAUAUGGUAUUAGCUAGUAGGUGAGGUAAUGGCUCACCUAGGCGACGACGCCUAGCUGGUCUGAGAGGAUGAUCAGGAACACUGGUGCUGAGACAAUCCCAACAUUGGAAGGGAGGCAGCAGUGGAGAAUAUUGGAGAAGGGGCGGAAGCCAGUAGCAGGCAUGGCGCGUGAAUGAAGAAGGCCAAAGGGGUGUAAAGUACUUUAAGUCGGGAGGCGGUAACGACAGAAGAAGCACCGGCUAACUACGUGCCAGCAGCCGCGGUAAUAC
Molecule: ribosomal RNA, 403 nt
Filed under: uncultured bacterium
Lineage: Bacteria
Description: partial 16S ribosomal RNA
Rfam family: Bacterial small subunit ribosomal RNA
Source: RNAcentral